CGCCUGCGCAGCAGCGUCCCGGCGCGCGCGGGCGCGCGGACCGCGGGGUUAGGAGAGGUGGAGCGCCGGGAGGGCGCGCGGCUGGAGGCGACCGCCGUAACGGCGCGAGCGUGGUCACGUGGCCGCUGGUCACCGCCGCCACCCCCUCCUGCCCUGUUCUCUCUCAGGUCGGCCCGGGCCCGGUCGGUUCCGCGAGCGCACGGCACAGACUGAGAGAGAGAGAAAAGAGGAGGGGGAGGAGCAGGAGGAGAAAUCAGGGAAUAGGAGCUGGGGAGCCCUUCUGCGCCACAGGAAAUUUCUGAUGAAUUGGUGAAGAUAGGAAAGCUGUUCAGAACGUGGUAACACUUCUGUACUCUCCCAGGCAGUGGAAGGUGGCACAAGUGUUUGGGCUCUGCACCUACAUGGGAGUCCUACAUAGAGUUCCAGACUCCUGGCUUGGGCCUGGCCCAGCUUCCGCCAUUGUCACCAUUUAGGGAGUGAACCAGGGGCUGGAAGGUCUGUGUUUUUCCUCUCUCUCUGCCUUUCCAAAAUAAUAAUAAUAAUAAUAGGAAAUGAAAAUCAUGAGAAACUGUUUAGGGAUUUAAAAAAUCCUUCACAACAAAGUAAUAAUUCCAUUCUCCAUGAAUUUUUUAAAUUAGCGUCAUAUAUACAGAGAGAUGACUGUAACACAGGGCUGAGAUCCUGACUGUGUACUGUAGUUUAUACAGUAGAGUGCUGAGUGCUAAUCUGCAUGUCUGCAAGGUAGCAUAACGGUUCUAGGUGAAGAGUCAAAACCUAUAAGCCCAACUUUCUCAGCCUUGCAGGAGGA
Molecule: long non-coding RNA, 808 nt
Organism: Ochotona princeps (American pika)
Lineage: Eukaryota; Metazoa; Chordata; Mammalia; Lagomorpha; Ochotonidae
Exons: 3
Source: RefSeq, a predicted model, not a curated record